RNAcentral lists this unclassified non-coding RNA (373 nucleotides) under soil metagenome. RNAcentral's name for it is "partial contains internal transcribed spacer 2 and large subunit ribosomal RNA". The stretch from base 5 to 119 matches the Rfam family "5.8S ribosomal RNA", at positions 40 to 154 of the family's 154-position model. The record is from RNAcentral.
GAUGAGAACGUAGCGAAAUGCGAUAAUUAAUGUGAAUUGCAGAAUUCCGUGAAUCAUCGAGUCUUUGAACGCACAUUGCGCCUCAUGGCAUUCCGUGAGGCAUGCCCAUCUCAGCGUUAGAAAAUAUUCUCAAAUUUUAGUUUUGUGCUAAAAUUUGGAUCAUGUCAAAGAAGCUAUUACUAUUAUUGUGAUCGCUCUUUGGAAAUUGAUAGGUCUUUGAGUUGCUACUCAUAGAACGUGAUGAAUCUUUCUUCGUUCUAUUGUAAUUCACUCUGGUAGUCCUAAAACUUGUAUGCCUGUGGCAUAUCUUGUAAUUUGACCUGAGAUUGGGUAGGGAUACCCGCUGAACUUAAGCAUAUCAAUAAGCGGAGGA